AAAUGACGGAGAGAAGCAAUAUCACCAGCCCAGACCGGCUCCCGCAAGUCAGUGACCCGGAGCUGGAGGCCAUCCGGGUGGACUUCCAGCUGGCGGCAUAUGCGUGUAUGGACCUUGAGAUCCCGAGGCCUGCCCUUUAUAGACGGGUCCUCCAGGCCCAAGCCAGGGCCAUGGGUGGGCUUGCACGCCAGUUCAGGCAGCUGAGGGCUGUCCAGCAGCAGGUGGUUGUGCUGAGGCAGAAGCUGGAGGAAACCACCCAGCAGCUGCACAAGGCCACCCAGCAGCUGGAGGAGGACCUCGAAUUGGCCGUGGCCUUUCCUCUCGGUAAGUGUUGGUGUUUUGUGGUUUGCAUGCUACAGAUAAUGUGUGUUUGUGUGAUAGUAGAUAAUAGAUUAACAUUCAACUGACCACAAGUCUGCUUUUUGAGUGAGUGAAUAUAUUUGUGUUCUUUAUUGAUUGGAUCAAAGAGUGAUAAAAUUAAGAUUUAUUUUUAUCUGUGUCCAUGUGUGCAGUCGCAGAGCAGCAGGCCAGUGGGGAGCCUGGCCAGCAGGAGCAGCAGGCCAGUGGGGAGCCAGGCCAGCAGGAGGAGGAGGAGGAGGAGGAGGAGGAGGAGCAGGAGGAAACUCCAACAAAUUAAACGAAAAUAAUAAAUAAAUUUAUUUAAAAAAUUGAAAUAGUUUCUGUGGUUAUUAAGCAUUUAACACUUUUAUAAAAUAGGAGAUUAAUGUCUAAUGUCUCCAAGUUCGCCUCAUAUUUCCAGAAAUAUUGUACCACAGAAAACACAUCCUAUGUCCUGAUAUGUUGAAGUAUUAGUAAACAAGCUUUAGUUGGCAGUAAAGAUACAGCUGGACAGUAAUACUGUAUUUCUGUGUUUGAAUGGAUGAAGAAGUAUAAAUGAACAUCUAUAUUUAAGUCAUCAAUUUCAGAAUCAUAAAUACUUACAAACAAAUAAUUACUUUUGUUACAACUCCAGAUUAGGGUGGCCCUUUCCUCCACAUCAAACAGGAGGACACUUUGCAUACACGGGACACGCAAGCAGAUAUUUUUUGGUAUGAUCCGGUUUUAUAUUUUAAUGUUUUUCCAGCAGAUUACAUAAAGGUGCAUACACAUACCACAUAGCUAAUAAUAAAUAUACAAGAUACAGCUCAUGACAACUGCCCUUCCAAUUCAGAUUACAUAGGUCUAAUAAACAUCAUACAGAAACUGUUCUUAAUGUUUUUAUCUGGAUAGAUAAAGGGUAAGGUUAAGUUCUCUGUGGCUGAGAGCUUGAUUGACAGCCUGGUGGUAACCUAGCAACUGUGCCUGACGCCUGUUGUGAACACAUGGCUCAUUUGAAUAUUAAAAUUAGCCAUGUGUUGAUAGGUCACCACACGAAAAUUGAGAGUUUUUCAUACAGUCUUGUGUUGUUGACAACACAUAUAACUUUGUAGUGGAAAAUGUAUAUGAAUAUGCUAAAAUUAUUUAAUUUAUAAGUGUCUGUAGCCGUCAUUAAUUUGAUAGUGUUUAUUUAAUGUAAACAAAUCAGUAAGUGAAUGGGGAGGUUGUAAACUGCAAUUUUAUUAAUCAUGAUAUUUAAUGUACUUAAACCAUAUUACUGUUUAGCGCUUUUGUGUUUAUGGUACGAAAUUACUAAAAAAAAAAAUCCAUUACAUAAUUUAUAAUGAAAGCAUUCAAUAUGACAUUUAUUUUGACAUUCUAUUUCCGGUUGUUUUUCUGUUUUUUUUUAAUGAGAAAUUACGGUUUGCACAUUGGUAGGACUGAACCAUUUCAUGCUGGGUUGAGGGUUUAGGCUAUAUCUUUUAUUUUAGCUAAAAUAAAUUAACAGACACAUAUAUAUUUACUUCUGAAAAUUAUAAAACAUUGUAAUAGUACUAAACAUUGUUAUCAGAUAAUUAAUGUCCAGUUUCACAUUAUUGUACAACACGGUUCAUCGUAAUGAUCCAGCCCACCUUCCUGUACCGCGCUCUGAUUGGUUGAACGGAACUUUUCGAAUCUCGCCAGUAGCCUAUAUAGGUUCCCCGUAAGCUAACUGUCGUUCUUGCUAGCACAACAACAGAGAGAGAGAUACGGAGCUGUUUUUGUGUACGCAAACCCUGAGAGAUAUUGAGAGAUAUUGAGAGAGAGUUGGAGAGAGUUGGAGAGAGUUGGAGAGAUACUGAGAGAGAGUUGGAGAGAGAGAUAUAUAUAUAUAAAUAUAUAUAUAUCUAUACAUACACACACACAUUCAUUCACUUUGGAAGCAGAGGAUUUGCCUUCUACGGUGAGUUUAAUUUUAACAAUUACAAUCUGUAUUAUUGAUAAUAAUGUAUGUUUAUGUUAAUGAAUAUGAUGCAUUGCUGAACAAAGCACUAACAGUAAAUAAAAUACCGUAAAACUUAUAAUAAUUGUCCGGCGUGUAUUUGCUUAAAACACUGAAUUGGGGACCUGCGUUUAUUUCCUUUAGCACAAACUGUUGCUCAGCACAUAUGGAAAUAUUCUCUAACUGUACUGUUUCUCUUCAGUUUCGUAUGGUAAUAGUAACUUACGGUACAUUUUAGCUCUACUGCUGGUUUAUAUGCGCCGCAGCCAUGACAGUGAACGUGAACGCCGCUUUACGUCAGCUGCAUAUUUACGUCAUCCGGCCGGCGUACAGACAGUAAACAGACCGUGAGUGACGGACUAUACAUGAUGAUAUUAAUGUAAGGAAACCUUUUGUAGUGAUACAUGGACUCUUAAUGGAGGAACGGACACAGACCGUACAGACUUUAUUCCCGCUUUAGAGUUGUUUACCGUCUCUGUUGUUUACCGUGUUAAGUCCGAAUGAAUCAACGUUAUAACGUUACUUUGGUGUUUAUAGUUUCCGUAAAAUGAAGUGAGCGAUUGAAUUGUGGAGACUCUAUAACUGAUGAUCUAAUGAUGUGCAUUAUGUAUAUAUUGACUGAAGUUUAAACAUUUAUAUUUGUGUAGGACAUUGAAACGGUUUAAAACCCUCUGAAGCUCUGAGUCUGUGCGUUUUACUACAUCCGGAUCAUUUCAUUCAUCAUUGCAGACCUGCGUUAUUAUUAUUAUUAUUAUUAUUAUUAUUAUUAUUAUAAUUAUUAUUAACUAUGCCUUUUACUGGUCCAGCUCAUUUAAGGUCAAAUUGGGUUGUAUGUGGCCCCUGAACCAAAAUGAGUUUGACACCCCUGCCUUAAAGUGUCUCGUGAGUGUGAUUAAAACUCAUUAUAAU
This is a long non-coding RNA of Dicentrarchus labrax (European seabass), 3208 nucleotides long. The record is from Ensembl. Lineage: Eukaryota; Metazoa; Chordata; Actinopteri; Moronidae.